RNAcentral lists this transfer RNA (85 nucleotides) under Patescibacteria group bacterium. RNAcentral's name for it is "tRNA-Leu". It matches the Rfam family "tRNA". Rfam says of the family: Transfer RNA (tRNA) molecules are approximately 80 nucleotides in length. Their secondary structure includes four short double-helical elements and three loops (D, anti-codon, and T loops). The record is from RNAcentral.
GCCGAAGUGGCGGAAUUGGUAGACGCGCAGCGUUCAGGGCGCUGUCUCGCUUUGCGAGGUGUGAGUUCAAGUCUCACCUUCGGCA